RNAcentral lists this non-coding RNA (349 nucleotides) under Trichobilharzia regenti. Its description in RNAcentral is "Eukaryotic large subunit ribosomal RNA". It matches the Rfam family "Eukaryotic large subunit ribosomal RNA", at positions 675 to 908 of the family's 3401-position model. Lineage: Eukaryota; Metazoa; Platyhelminthes; Trematoda; Strigeidida; Schistosomatidae. The record is from Rfam by way of RNAcentral.
UUAACAUGUACGCGAGUCAUUGAGCUUUACGAAACCCAAAGCCGCAGUGAAGAUAAAGGUUUAGCUUAUCCAGGCUGAGGUGUGAUCCUGUUGUUUUGCCCAUUAAUUCCAAGCUGUAAGCAGCAGGCGCAUCACCGGCCCGUCCCAUGACGUAGACAUACGGCCUUGUGCUAUGUGCACCGUCGGGGCGGAGCAACAGCGUACAUGCUAAGACGUACAUGAAAGAUGGUGAACUAUACUUGCGAAGGUUGAAGCCAGAGGAAACGCUGGUGGAGGACCGUAGCGAUUCUGACGUGAGAAUCCAAGUUGAUCACGGAUUGAUAUCAGUUAGACAACUAUUGAGAACCAG